This 69-nucleotide transfer RNA is filed under the name Nephtys sp. 'San Juan Island' YV-2008. RNAcentral's name for it is "tRNA-Gln". It matches the Rfam family "tRNA". Rfam says of the family: Transfer RNA (tRNA) molecules are approximately 80 nucleotides in length. Their secondary structure includes four short double-helical elements and three loops (D, anti-codon, and T loops). The record is from RNAcentral. RNAcentral also lists the same sequence under 1 other name. Lineage: Eukaryota; Metazoa; Annelida; Polychaeta; Phyllodocida; Nephtyidae.
UAUAAAUUAGUGUAUGGCGCACCUAGGCUUUUGAACCCUAAAGAUAAGGCUCGACUCCUUAAUUUAUAA